UCUCCUGGAAACGGGUGGUAAUGCCGGAUGCUCCGCCCCCUCGCAUGGGGGGUCGGGAAGGCUUUUGCGGAAUGGGAUGGGGUCGCGUCCUAUCAGCUUGUUGGCGGGGCGACGGCCCACCAAGGCUUCGACGGGUAGCCGGCCUGAUAGGGCGACCGGCCACAUUGGGACUGAUAUACGGCCCAGACUCCUACGGGAGGCAGCAGUGGGGAAUAUUGCACAAUGGGGGGAACCCUGAUGCAGCGACGCCGCGUGCGGGAUGGAGGCCUUCGGGUCGUGAACCGCUUUUGAUUGGGAGCAAGCGUGAGUGAGUGUACCUUUCGAAUAAGCACCGGCUAACUACGUGCCAUCAGCCGCGGUAAUACGUAGGGUGCAAGCGUUGUCCGGAAUCAUUGGGCGUAAAGGGCUCGUAUGCGGUUCGUCGCGUCCGGUGUGAAAGCCCAUCGCUUAACGGUGGGUCUGCGCCGGAUACGGGCGGGCUUGAGUGCGGCAGGGGAGGCUGGAAUUCCCGGUGUAACGGUGGAAUGUGUAGAUAUCGGGAAGAACACCA
This 550-nucleotide ribosomal RNA is filed under the name uncultured Bifidobacterium sp. Its description in RNAcentral is "bacterial SSU rRNA". It matches the Rfam family "Bacterial small subunit ribosomal RNA", at positions 146 to 711 of the family's 1533-position model. The record is from RNAcentral. Lineage: Bacteria; Bacillati; Actinomycetota; Actinomycetes; Bifidobacteriales; Bifidobacteriaceae.